UACAGAGGUCUCAAGCGUUGUUCGGAUUCAUUGGGCGUAAAGGGUGCGUAGGCGGCGCGGUAAGUCGGAUGUGAAAUCUCGGGGCUUAACUCCGAAACUGCAUUCGAUACUGCCGUGCUUGAGGACUGGAGAGGAGACUGGAAUUUACGGUGUAGCGGUGAAAUGCGUAGAUAUCGGAAGGAACAUCAGUGGCGAAAGCGGCUUCCUGGACCAGUACCGACGUUCAGGCACGAAAGCGUGGGGAGCAAACAGG
RNAcentral lists this ribosomal RNA (253 nucleotides) under uncultured bacterium. Its description in RNAcentral is "partial 16S ribosomal RNA". It matches the Rfam family "Bacterial small subunit ribosomal RNA", at positions 524 to 776 of the family's 1533-position model. The record is from RNAcentral.